GACGAACGCUGGCGGCGUGCCUAAUACAUGCAAGUCGAGCGGACCGAUGGGAGCUUGCUCCUUUAGGUUAGCGGCGGACGGGUGAGUAACACGUGGGCAACCUGCCCUGCAGACUGGGAUAACUCCGGGAAACCGGGGCUAAUACCGGAUAAUCCAUCGAACCGCAUGGUUCGGUGUUGAAAGAUGGCUUUUAGCUAUCACUUGUAGAUGGGCCCGCGGCGCAUUAGCUAGUUGGUAGGGUAAUGGCCUACCAAGGCAACGAUGCGUAGCCGACCUGAGAGGGUGAUCGGCCACACUGGGACUGAGACACGGCCCAG
This 317-nucleotide ribosomal RNA is filed under the name uncultured bacterium. Its description in RNAcentral is "bacterial SSU rRNA". It matches the Rfam family "Bacterial small subunit ribosomal RNA", at positions 28 to 334 of the family's 1533-position model. The record is from RNAcentral.